RNAcentral lists this ribosomal RNA (117 nucleotides) under uncultured beta proteobacterium. RNAcentral describes it as "partial 16S ribosomal RNA". It matches the Rfam family "Bacterial small subunit ribosomal RNA", at positions 398 to 507 of the family's 1533-position model. The record is from RNAcentral. Lineage: Bacteria; Pseudomonadati; Pseudomonadota; Betaproteobacteria.
CGCGUGUCUGAAGAAGGCCUUCGGGUUGUAAAGGACUUUUGUCCGGGAGCAAAUGCCUGGUGUUAAUAGCAUCGGGAGCUGAGAGUACCGGAAGAAUAAGCACCGGCUAACUACGUG